RNAcentral lists this long non-coding RNA (8846 nucleotides) under Homo sapiens (human). RNAcentral's name for it is "HSALNT0395421". The record is from RNAcentral. Lineage: Eukaryota; Metazoa; Chordata; Mammalia; Primates; Hominidae.
AUUUCCUCCUCGGUCCCACCCUGGUCCAUGAGUGUCGUGAGCCAGUGCCUGGCUGCCUCGGCAGAGAGCUGGGGUCGCCAGAGUGACCGCCCUCGUCCGUAGCACGGUACCAGCACGUCUCUGACGGCCAAAGUGCAGGUGCCAGGUGCCGGCCGCGAUGCUGGGAAGAUGCUGUGGCUGUCUCUCCACGAACCAAGCGACCCACAGGUCCACACCAGCACUUCUGUGGUGUCAGCACCAGUGUCGCCUGAGCCUCCCUCUCAGGCUCUUCCUGAUUUUUAUUUCCCUUUGGAUGGCAGAGUCCCUGAGUCCCCCACAGGCCAGUGACGUUCCCCGUCACCUGUGACUUCUGGCAGACGCAGAGGAAACGAGCGGCACUGUUAGGGCCUUUGUGAGCUGCAUGCAUCCCCGCCCCACCCACCUCCUGCUGUGGCCGCCCUGAUGGGCGCUGAGAUAGGGGAUGUGCCACCAGCACUGUCGCCACGUCCCAUCUCCCUCCCAGGUUCUGGUGGGGCGUGCGCUGACGUCACGGAACUGCCCGGGCUUCCCUCUGCCAUGGGCUGGAGCGCCCAGAGCCCAGAUAAGCCCCACGUGUUUCUGCAAAGGCCCCGGCCUGUCUCAGGGCGGCUUCCUGGAGCAAUUAGUAGUGUGCAUUUCAUCACCCCACUCCCUUCCCCAAAUUCCCUUUCAACAACCCCCGACUAUUUUUAAGAAUAACAAUAAUAAAACACAGAUGGAGAACCAGGAAUUGUGUCAUGGGAACUGAUAACAGGACACACUGGCACUGAGCUCCAGGAGGAACCCUGGCUGCAAACACACACCCGAGGCUGGCUCGCCCAAGGCUCUGCGGGGCCAGAGACCCAGGCAAGCAAAGGUGCCCCACAUGCCCGGCCCCGCCAGCAGCACCUCCUGACAUGGCGCCCACAGAAGGUCCCGACUCUGUCCCGUGUGGGAGCUCAGCCUCUGUAAAGACACAGGCACGCGUGGGCUCCCCGCAGGCCCUGCUCAGAGCCACGCUGAUCCUGGGCCCUGCCCAAGACGGGACCUGGCACUCAGCCACAGGACGCAGAGCCAGGCUCUCUGCAGAGGGCUCCGCCCCCAGUGUGGAAGGCACCAGAAGGAGCCCGGGCUCCCGCCCCUCCGUGUGACUCUUCACAAACACUAAGGAGGAUAACGACAGGGCCCAGGUGCUCGCAGGCUGCUCCCGGACUGGCACGCAGGACCUGACUUGUCCCAGAGUGCGCACGGCAGCUCCUCACCAGAGGCACUUUCCGUGACACUCGGGCGGCGCUGCGGGGCCUCGGCACAACGCAGAGAGAAAGACGGCUCUGUUCUGUGUGGGGGUCGCACGUCCCCACCCAAAUGCCCUAGGCUGCUGGUUGCUCAGCGGCCUCCCGCCCACUGUGCUGCUGAGUGCAGCGGCCCCCAGGAGCUCCGUGCCCUGCUGUGCUUGGCAUCUGUGGCACGAGACAGGGAUGCCCCAGAAUUCGAGACCAGUUAACUCCUUUCCCACUGCGCUGGUUCAGCCUUGCUACAAAAGACGUCUGCAAAGAGGCAGGAGGAGCCACCUGCCCAGGAGGAAGACACGGUGGGGGUUCAGGUAGCUCAGAACAGGCCCCACCUGUGGGGGAAGGGAGGCUGCCCAAUGCAUGAAGAGACUGGGCUCAGGUCCUCAUCCAACCCUGGCCAGCGGAGCUCCAAAAGAAAGGACUCCAGUCAGAAUAGUGAUUGUGGGGACGAAAGAGGCCUAAAUGAUCAACACAGGGGAAAGGUGGGGACACUACAAAGAAAUAAUGAAGCCAUGAGUGGACCCUGAAGGGUAACAGCGACAGGGACAGGAGGGAGGCCUGAGAGGUAACGACGGUGGGACGUGGGGAGGACUGAGGGGUAACGACGGUGGGACGUGGGGAGGCCUGAGGGGUAACAACGGUGGGACGUGGGGAGGACUGAGGGGUAACGACGGUGGGACGUGGGGAGGACUGAGAGGUAACGACGGUGGGACGUGGGGAGGACUGAGGGGUAACGACGGUGGGACGUGGGGAGGCCUGAGGGGUAACGACGGUGGGACGUGGGGAGGACUGAGGGGUAACGACGGUGGGACGUGGGGAGGACUGAGAGGUAACGACGGUGGGACGUGGGGAGGACUGAGGGGUAACGACGGUGGGACGUGGGGAGGACUGAGGGGUAACGACGGUGGGACGUGGGGAGGACUGAGGGGUAACGACGGUGGGACGUGGGGAGGACUGAGGGGUAACGACGGUGGGACGUGGGGAGGACUGAGGGGUAACGACGGUGGGACGUGGGGAGGCCUGAGGGGUAACGACGGUGGGACGUGGGGAGGACUGAGGGGUAACGACGGUGGGACGUGGGGAGGCCUGAGGGGUAGUAAUGAUGGGAUGUGGGGAGGCGUGAGGGGACAGGAUGGGUGAUGGUGACAGUGACAGGGUGGGGACGGCGUCUGAGGUCUCCAUCGUGUUCGUGGGACAGGCCGCCUGCAUGGCCGCCGAGAGCCGUCUUGUUCCCCGCGGGCACAGGAGGGCGCGUCGCUGAGGGUGAAAGGGAAGCGGCAUGGCCAUGGGGCUUCCCCUUGCUGCCCACGAGCACCUGAGCCUCGGUGGGAGAGCCCGUCGGGGGGCGGAAAGUUCCUCGGUGUGUCCCCCGGCCACCCAGGUUCCCGUCGGGGGCCACCACAGCCUCCUUUGCUCUCUCUGCCUGGGUCUGCGGCUGCUGAGCUCUCGGGAGGGGAGGAGGGCCGACCUCAAGAGAGCUGUCGAGGCCUAAGGAGCCAGCGGCAGCCUGCACCUCACUCCUGCGGGCUGGCGGUGCGUGUGGGCCGACCCCGUCCCAGCGCCGGGUCAAGUGUGUUCCACAAGGUCUCAGACGCUGCAGGGACGCGUGGCCGGGACCAGACACAGCCCAGGCACCCUCCAGGGCCUUCCCGCUGCCCCAUGGCAGCAGCUGACAGAGAGCGGGAUGGACAACCCUGACACCACUCAGCAGAGGACAGCACAGCAACCGAACCGCAGAGGAGGCUGUACCGCCCACCCAUCCACACCGCGGACGAGAGCCGUACGUGGAGCCGUGCUCGCCCCGCAGACACGGCCUGUGCCGUAGCCCUGAGAGGAAAGCCACGGCUUCCCCUUUCACAGGUAGCAUGUGACCCUCACGGCGUGUGGGAGACCUGAAAGAGGAAACUUACUUUGCCUAACGUCAGAUGUCCCCGCAACAGGAUGUGGUGAGCUGUUAUACCACAAUUUAAUUUAAUAAGGAGGGCUUUUUUUUCCCUUAUAUUAGAUUUUUCUCUAAAAUACUCCUCAGGUGGAAACUAUUGUUUUUUCCUAAAACUCGACUGUGGCGUUUUGAAUCCUGGCUGCAGGCUGAGAGCCUCCCUCGAGGCCACAUCCACACACCCACACUCAUACCCACCUCUCUAUACACAUCUGGAAUUGAGUGAAGGAGGAAAUCAGUACAUUUUUAAAUAUAAAAACUACCAAGUACAAGGGCAGGCAUGGCUUUCACUGCCUCACCUGUGAAUCUUAUCUGUGCCCUUGCUGGGGCCACGCAAGCUCUCACUAGCUGUGCGUAAACAAGCCGUAGGCGAGACGCCUUUCUCAGUCAAGUAUUCGUACCUUCACAUAACCAGUUUCUUCUUUUUGAUCAUCAUUUUGAAAGAAAGUUGACAUUUAAACUUCACCCUGUAGUGAGCUACCCAAAGUUCACCUCUUAAGUUUCACGCAGGAGUUUUGUUUCUCUAUGCUGGGAAUGAUGAGGGCCAGAACGGAGCUGCCAGGGCCUGAACGCUGUUUGAUAUAUUUUGCCCCCUUGCUGCCUGGCUUGGAAGCAACAUUUUUCUGCAUUUCUGAAUGCCCGGUUUCUGAAAGCAAUUAAGGAUCUUACAUUUUAAGGAAUGAACAAACUACCAUUUCCCCAGCAGUUAUGCAGCCCUGCCUGGCCCUUUGUGCACCUGCUUGCUCCUUGCAACAGCCCCGGGAGCGGCAAAGGCAGUACUUACUAGGAAAGUCAUGGAAAGCUGGAUGGGCCUACUGGCUGGUGCCUGGGGGACGACUCAGACCCUGGGACAGGAGGGUUCCCACCCUGCCCAGCCAGCUCCUGGCCCCAGGAGUCCGUCCUCUCUCCUCCAAAUCUGGCCCCCGUCCCUUCCCUCUCUGGUCCUCCCUGUUUCACCUGCAGGGUGCUCAGUGCCCGGAACUUGGCGUAUCUGAGGUGGCCAGAGGCGCCAGCGGAGCAGGAUGUCGGAGCUGCCACUCGCCUUCCACUGUGCUGUGAGAGCCACCGGGACACGUCAGCAUCUCCCCUGUUCUGAAAUCAACACCGAGACACACCGAGUCCCUCCGGAGGCAUCUGCAGAGGCAGCAACGCCACGCGAGGGCUGCCGACUCUCCAGCUCCAACAUUUCGUCCGGACCUCCCGGCAGCGCAGCGGGGGAUCCCCUCCCGUGAGGGGCCCGGAGGGGCUUCGAGAAGGCUGUCGCCUGAUGGGCUCCGUCAAGUUUCCCCCUGCAGACCCUCAUUCUACCAGUUUUGAUUCCAUUUUAAAUCUGACUUCCAAGUGGCACCCCUGCCGACGGUCAAAACGCCCCCUCUCCUGGUGUGUGCCCUCCAUCCCCGCUUCCUGGGGGCAGCCGGUUUCUUGCUGUCUGGACAACAGAGCUCUGCCAAUGCCACUUAUCUCGCCCGUCCAGGACUUUAUCACCAACUGUCCUACUUCCGACUCCAGCAAAGGAGCGACAGCGAGCACGUCUGUGCUUGGCUGUGACUAACAGGGCCUCUGAAUAAAGUGAAAAUAAUCCCACUUUAAGCUGCAAGAGGAAAGACCCACAGAAGGAAAGUCCUUCACGGACGGAGACCCAGGAUCCUGAAAUGCAGUGCGUCCCUUCAACGUUCUGAGAAUAAAAAUUUAAACAUGCAAGCCCCGGGAGGAAAAGCAAUUCCUAAAACAUGGCAGAAACAACAUAAAAAAAAUCUUGCUGUUGUUUUAAAAACUGACCUAAGACCAGGCAUGGUGGCUCACACCUGUAAUCCCAGCACUUUGGGAAGCCAAGGCGGGAGGAUCACUUGAGGCCAAAAGUUCAAGACCAGCCUGGGCAAUGUAGUGAGACCACCCCCCAUCUCUACAAACAAAUGUAAAAAUUAGCCAGACAUGGUGGUGUGCACCUGUGGUCCCAGCUACUUGGGAGGCUGAGGUGGGAGGAUGGCUUGAGCCCAGGAGGUUGAGGCUGCAGUGAGCUGAGAUUGUACCACUGCAUUCCAGCCUGGGUGACAGAGCAAGACCCUGUCUCAGGAAAAAAAAUAAAAAAAUAAAAAAUAAAUAGCCUGAUCUCCUGUUUUCCAGGAAAGCCCGAGCCUUGUAAGGGUUUUUCAGAUGGUAGUGAAACAACUUGGAAGUCAGCAAUUCCUAAGGAUUUUCCAAAUCUUCUCAGACUAAAAUUCUCCCACUUUCCUGCUGCCUUGUUCAAACCAUGGUUCGGAGAUCUGUGAGCAGCCUGCCAGCCGCCGGAGGCUCUGAAGCCUUUCUGAGGCGAGGUCUUUGCACCUGAACGCUCUGGUAGAACAAGGUUUAGCAAAAGGGAGCCUGGAAGGGCCCAUCCUCACCUUCUGCCCAGUCCUGCAGGGCUCAGGACACAUCCUGGGGGCUAAUCUGUGGGAAGAGGUUUGACUGAGACCCCGUUCUGCUCUGUGAAUGGGCGGACUCUUCAGCAUCUCACACGGAGAAACAACUUCCUCCUGGAUCGGAGCCCAAGUCAGGGAUAAGGUGCCUCCUGCCUGCACCGUGGGCACUGGCCGCCUUGUUACAGAAUCAACGGCCGUCCACUGAGGGACACCGGGUGCCAGGGGUCCUAACACCCCUCCAGAGCACCCGGCACAGCUCUCCUUGGAGCUGGGUGCUACCCUUAGUCUCGUUUUGAAGACAGGACUGGGCGGUCAGGUCAGCCCAUCCUCACACUGCGGUGAGUAGCGGGGGCAGGAGCAGCCUUGCUGUGGGCCACGCCCUGGGCAAUGAGCGGUGGCUCCUUGGGGGAUCUCAGAUUUUUCCAAGUCUGUUUUCUAUAUGGCUGAACGAUGUGACAAAACACUUGUCAAGGACACCCUCUCAGGUGCUCUGAUCUGCAUCUUUCACGAGCGAGAGGGGGGGUGCCAGGCACUUCCUGGUGGACCUUCAGUUACCGCCCAUCAGAACACAAGCAGGCAGCGCGAAACAUGCUGGGCCCGGGGGCUCCAUCGCCCUUUACACUGCCACACUCAGCUUCCACAUGUUCUACUGUGGGCGUGUGCCCCUCCUUCAUGUUUCUGGGGUUCAUGGGGACAUUAGUGUUGUCCUUCCCUUUCUGUCUCAAAGAAUUGACUGUGCCUGUCAUUGGACGCAGCGGCUGCCAUGAAUGUCGACCGGGAAAGCGAUGGGAAAAGCUGUUCAGACACAGCUGAGCUGCCUCUACCUGGUCACCUGCACGCCAGGCCCAUGCAGUCUGCUCCAUCCCUGUCCCUGGCAGAGCCCAUCUGGGAGUGGUGGUGACUGUGCCAGCUGGAGACCCACUGAGCACCAGGGUGCAGCACAGACAACGACGCCCUCAGGCUGCGUGCAGUGAAGAGCCGGGAGAGGCAGCGCUAGAAUUGUUUUUAGGAACUGGAUUUGGGCUUAAAGAAUAAACAAUGUGGUUCAGCCACGCUAACCCAAAUACACUGUUUAAUCCUUGCAGUUAAAAAGUUUAAGUAGCACAGAUGAAGACUAUAACUUGCAUAAACGAUUUUUGUGUCAAUUUUUAAAAAGCAUAUUUGUUCAUAUAGGUACCACUAACUUAAUUGCACAAAACACAUUUAAAAGCAUCUUCCCUCUUUUUCAAUGGUUAUGUUAGUUCCAAUCAACAACCAAUUGUGCUAUGAUUAUUCAAGUCUAAGAGUAUUUAUCUAUGACCGCUAAACAAACCAGACAGUUUGGCAAGGACACAGGCCUCAGAAUUAUCAGACAUCAGAACGUCCUGCAGGACUGCUCCUUCUUUAGAGUUGUCAUUUUCCUUUACACUAAAGCAAUACAGGAAACAAAAAAGGCCGUCGUGAUGCCACCCACGGCCUACGGGGGCAUGUUCCUAUUGCCUCUUCCUGUCGCAGCGUCCCCAUCCGCCUCACUUUCCGUCCAGCAGGCUCCCUUCUAAGGCCCACCGUCCCACUGGACACAGCGUAAUUAAACCUGCAGCAGGAACGCAAUUGUCCCCAGCUUACUCCACCAUCCUCUGAGGGACAGAAAAGUGCAUAUUCUUCAGAGGACAAGUCAUCAAAAAUAACUUUUUAAAAAGAGCAAAACAAAACAGGAAAGACAUUCUCCUCCAUUCCUAUAACUAAGAGAUAAUUAUAAAAAGUAUUUGCUAACCUUCCCAGAAAAUACACCUUUAGCUAAAGUUAGUCUUGUAACCUAAGAGGGUAAUAAUUUGGGUAGGACACAGAUAGAACCAGAAAUAUCUCAGGCCAAAUCCUAUUCUUAAAUAACUAACUUCUAAGAUGUCUCCCAAUGACAUUUGCUGUACUCAGCUUUGACAAUAUCUAAUAAUUCUUGGAGUAAGAACGCCAUUUGAUGGUGGUUGAAAACCUUAAUGAACAUAUGGAUUUUCAUGGCUGUGGCGUUCAUUACAAAGGGGCAUGAUAGAUGUGUUUACUGACUGUUUUAUGGUUUCAUUGAAUUGCUGAAUACACAGCUUUCAAUUUUUCCAUCUGACAUACACAUUUAGACUUGUAUGGCUCUCAUUUAAGGUAUUACAGUAGAUAUGAGCUAAGUACAUAAAAAUAUGGUUAAAGCCACAAAUUAGAGAUCAGAAAAUAGGAAGCGAAGAGGAAAACGCUUUUGUUCCACUGUACGUAUAUCGUGUCUGAUGCAGAGGUGGCUUCGGUGUGUGCGCCAAGGUAACUGAAGAGGCCGCCUCUCAUGUGGGUUUUUUAAUUUUUUGAGAAGAAGCAACCUCUUAGAAAGUCUACCAUAAAUGUUUCCUCCUUCACAAGCAAAUAUCUGGAUUUUCCAUAACCUCCUACAUGAAGCCUCCACCACGGCCUCCUCGGUCCACCCUAAACUGUCCGACACUGCUGGGCGCCCGGCGCUCGGCUGAGAAACGGGGUAAGAACAAGGGCGGUUCUGCCACUCCACAGUCGAGGAGCCACCACAUUCUGAAAACGCAGGGUCGCAGCGUCUCUAGAACCCUUCUUUACGAUUCUGCAUUUUUCAAAGAUGCUUUGUAAAGCAGUGGAAAAUAACAGCUUCUCAAGUUUCAUUAAAAAGUAAGUUCUCAAGUCCAGGACCUAUUUCAGCCUUCACUUAUUUUUAUCUUUUUCAUCGCAAUAAGCCACCGCCACAGGGCCUGCUAUUUUUGGAAGGAGAGGACGGGACAACGGAGGGACGGCCUGACAAGUCACAGUUUUCAUAAAACAAGCCCCUCAUCUGGACGCAGCUGGUGGUGGGGAGCGGGACCGCCACUCGGGACGUCAGCCAUUAAGACAGAAUAAUUUUCCUACCUUAACUGCCUGCUUCCUUAUUUAGCCUGAAUGUUGCACAGAAUGCAAACGCCGUGUGGAAACUGCCAGGGUUCAGGGUACAGGACCACGUGCCUGGGAGAUUCCGACAGGCUGUCCUUCCGCCCCCCACCGAGACGGCAUGCGGGCGCGUGUUUCCACGGAUCUAGUCCGUCUUAUCUGCACCAAACUGCCAUUCCAGUCACUCACUGGGAUCAUUAAACCACCACUUGCAGUUUUCCAGGGCUUUCUUUGUUCUACUAGGAAGUAUAUGCCCCCAAAUUAUGAAAUUCCAUUUCAAACAGAAUUAACAGAAUUUAAAAAAUAAAAAUGUUA